This is a non-coding RNA of Pelobates cultripes (western spadefoot toad), 295 nucleotides long. NCBI's taxonomy places the organism in Eukaryota, Metazoa, Chordata, Amphibia, Anura, Pelobatidae. The record is from the annotation of a GenBank genome assembly.
CAAUGAUUUGACACAAAUGGUUAUUUUGUUUCUUGCACACAGAUUUUAGUGGAGCAUGUGCAAUUCUUGCCCCAAAGUGGAUAUUUAAUCCCACCACCAAGAGCAGUGCUGAAGGAAAUGGAAUUAUUUGUAUCGUUGAUUUGUUAUUUUAUGUUUAGUAUUGUCGAUAGUGUUGCUGUUAAUGGAUAACUGCUAAAAUAAAUCAGCCUCUAAAAAAUGCUUUUUUUUAUUUUUAUUUCCCCUUCUUCUUCUCAGGUACUCCUGCACUUAAAGAAAUUUUUGAAACACAAUAACC